This 301-nucleotide ribosomal RNA is filed under the name uncultured bacterium. Its description in RNAcentral is "partial 16S ribosomal RNA". It matches the Rfam family "Bacterial small subunit ribosomal RNA", at positions 509 to 807 of the family's 1533-position model. The record is from RNAcentral.
CAGCAGCCGCGGGAAUACGUAGGGUGAAAGCGUUAAUCGGAAUUACUGGGCGUAAAGCGUGCGCAGGCGGUUUUGUAAGACAGAGGUGAAAUCCCCGGGCUCAACCUGGGAACUGCCUUUGUGACUGCAAGGCUAGAGUACGGCAGAGGGGGAUGGAAUUCCGCGUGUAGCAGUGAAAUGCGUAGAUAUGCGGAGGAACACCGAUGGCGAAGGCAAUCCCCUGGGCCUGUACUGACGCUCAUGCACGAAAGCGUGGGGAGCAAACAGGAUUAGAUACCCCUGUAGUCCCUGUCUCUUAUAC